Non-coding RNA from Misgurnus anguillicaudatus (oriental weatherfish), 1976 nucleotides. The record is from RefSeq and is a predicted model, not a curated record. NCBI's taxonomy places the organism in Eukaryota, Metazoa, Chordata, Actinopteri, Cypriniformes, Cobitidae.
AUCGAUGGUCGUCGCCCCCACUAGUGGUACAGUCUGCUGUGCUGUUGAAGCAGCGCGUUUGUUUCGCGGUUUGUCUGUGUUUUAAAUCACUUACUACAGUGCUAAACCUACUCACGUUAUAUUAUGUCUGUGGCUUUCGCACCGCAUCGGCAACGCGCCAAGGGCGAUAUAACGCCCGCAGGAAUACAGAAGUUACUGGAUGAAAACAAUCAGUUGAUUCAGUGCAUUAUGGACUUCCAGAGUAAAGGAAAAACCGCUGAAUGCUCACACUAUCAGCAGAUGUUACACAGGAAUCUGGUCUAUCUGGCGACUAUAGCAGACUCCAAUCAGAACAUGCAGUCUCUGCUGCCCGCUCCACCCACUCAAAACAUGGGCAUGAAUCAAAGCGCAGCUCCUCCUCAGCCACCUCAUGGUCACAGUUUGCCCUCAGAUGCUGCGUCCGGUCCACACAUGCAGAAUCAGAUGAACGGACAGAUACCAGGACCUAACCAAAUGUCCAUACAAGGGCCCGGACCCAACCAAACACCCAGCAUACCCAGUGGAUCCAUGAACAUGCCACCCAGCAGUCAUGGCUCUAUGGGGGCGUAUAAUCACGCUGGACCCUCGUCACAGGGCAUGACAUCACAGGGUCAGAUGAAUAUAAGCCAGGGACAGCCCAUAGGCACUUACGGCCCUCGCCCCAACAUUAACAUGCAGCCCAACCAGGGGCCCAUAAUGCACCAGCAGGCGCCCUCCCAACAGUACAACAUCCCUGCCGCUGGUGGCAGUGCACAGCAUUACCAGGGCCAGCAGAAUCCCAUGGGCAUGAUGGGUCAGGGUAAUCAUGUUAUGGGACAGAGGCCUAUGCCCCCCUACAGGCCACCACAUCAAGGACCUCCACAGCAGUACCCAGGUCAGGAGGAAUAUUACACAGAGCAAUACAGCCAUGGAGGACAGGGGGCGCCAGAGGGAAACUCACAGUACGGUCAGCAGCAGGAUGCGUAUCAGCAGGGUCCACCUCAACAGCAGGGUUACCCACCACAGCAACAGUACACUGCACAGCAGGGUUAUCCUGGACAACAACAAGCCUACGGUCCGUCUCAGGGCACUCCAGGUCAGUACCCAAACUACCCACAGGGUCAAGGACAGCAGUAUUCAGCCUAUAGACCACCACAGCCCGGACCACCGCAGGGACAGCCACAGAGACCCUAUGGAUUUGAUCAGGCUCAGUAUAGUAACUAUCAACAGUAAGUGUUUGACUUCCUGGCCGAGCAUACCUCUCAUCAUCAUCUGAUGAAGAUCUCUCUUUCUCUCUCUCUCUCUCUCUCUCUCUCUCUCUCUCUCUCUCUCUCUCUCUCUACAAAGAGGUUUAUCUUCCCCGCUCAUACAGACUGAACAUUACCUUGAUACUCAACACAGAUGUUUUUCAAAGUGAAUCUCCUACAAAACUCAAUCAACUUUACAACAUGAAGAAACAAAGUGUACUCCUGUUUGUUUGUUUGUUUUUUAAGUAUUUGCUAUCAACAUGUGUAUAGUUUUACUGAAUUCAUAGCAGCAAUGCCUUAAAUGAAACAACUGCCGCCCUUACAGCAAAACCAGUCGAUAUAACAAGACACACACACACACACACACACACACAGCAAUGUUCAUAUGUAAAAUGUAUUUUCAGUUUUGUGUAAAGUUCAGAUCAUUAGAUUGUUUUCUUCCCCUUGUUGCUAAAGUCAGAAAAGCAAUAACGCUGUGGUGAGCCAAAGGGGAUCUUUCACCAGGAAAUGCUUUUUAUUUCAGGUUGAUAUCUACGCUAUGAUGUGUAAAUGUUUAAAUAUUUUAUUCUUUAGGAAAUGGAGCUCAGACUCCGAGUCCACUGAAUUGUUGAAUUGUAGCUCAAAGUGUCGUCCCGUUGUUUAAUGAUGUAUUUGUAUUUCUGAGUUUGGGACAUUUUGUUGACUAUGACAUGUAUGACUUGUUGAAAUGAUUAAACCUUAUUGGUACUGUAA